UACGUAGGGGGCAAGCGUUGUCCGGAAUCAUUGGGCGUAAAGCGCGUGUAGGCGGCCAGGUAAGUCCGUUCUGAAAGCCCGGGGCUCAACCCCGGGAGGCGGAUGGAUACUGCUUGGCUCGAGUCCGGAAGAGGCGAGUGGAAUUCCCGGUGUAGCGGUGAAAUGCGCAGAUAUCGGGAGGAACACCGAUGGCGAAGGCAGAUCUCUGGGCCGUAACUGACGCUGAGGAGCGAAAGCAUGGGGAGCGAACAGG
Molecule: ribosomal RNA, 253 nt
Filed under: uncultured bacterium
Lineage: Bacteria
Description: partial 16S ribosomal RNA
Rfam family: Bacterial small subunit ribosomal RNA
Source: RNAcentral